RNAcentral lists this ribosomal RNA (443 nucleotides) under Lachnoanaerobaculum saburreum. RNAcentral's name for it is "bacterial SSU rRNA". It matches the Rfam family "Bacterial small subunit ribosomal RNA", at positions 28 to 453 of the family's 1533-position model. Lineage: Bacteria; Bacillati; Bacillota; Clostridia; Lachnospirales; Lachnospiraceae. The record is from RNAcentral.
GAUGAACGCUGGCGGCGUGCUUAACACAUGCAAGUCGAACGAAGCUGUUAAAAGGAAGUCUUCGGAUGGAAUUUUAACAGACUUAGUGGCGGACGGGUGAGUAACGCGUGGAUAACCUGCCUUAUACAGGGGGACAACGGAGAGAAGUUUCCGCUAAGACCGCAUAAGACCACAGCACCGCAUGGUGCAGGGGUAAAAUAUUAAUAGGUAUAAGAUGGAUCCGCGUCCGAUUAGCUGGUUGGUGAGGUAGAGGCUCACCAAGGCAACGAUCGGUAGCCGGCCUGAGAGGGUGAACGGCCACAUUGGGACUGAGACACGGCCCAAACUCCUACGGGAGGCAGCAGUGGGGAAUAUUGGACAAUGGGGGAAACCCUGAUCCAGCGACGCCGCGUGAGUGAAGAAGUAUUUCGGUAUGUAAAGCUCUAUCAGCAGGGAAGAAAAUG